GGGUUGUGAGGUUAAGCGACUAAGCGUACACGGUGGAUGCCCUGGCAGUCAGAGGCGAUGAAGGACGUGCUAAUCUGCGAUAAGCGCCGGUAAGGUGAUAUGAACCGUUAUAACCGGCGAUUUCCGAAUGGGGAAACCCAGUGUGACUCGUCACACUAUCAUUAACUGAAUCCAUAGGUUAAUGAGGCGAACCGGGGGAACUGAAACAUCUAAGUACCCCGAGGAAAAGAAAUCAACCGAGAUUCCCCCAGUAGCGGCGAGCGAACGGGGAGGAGCCCAGAGCCUGAAUCAGCAUGUGUGUUAGUGGAAGCGUCUGGAAAGGCGCGCGAUACAGGGUGACAGCCCCGUACACAAAAGCGCAUAUGCUGUGAGCUCGAUGAGUAGGGCGGGACACGUGGUAUCCUGUCUGAAUAUGGGGGGACCAUCCUCCAAGGCUAAAUACUCCUGACUGACCGAUAGUGAACCAGUACCGUGAGGGAAAGGCGAAAAGAACCCCGGCGAGGGGAGUGAAAAAGAACCUGAAACCGUGUACGUACAAGCAGUGGGAGCCCCACCACUAAGCCAGUGGUGAACUCCACAUACGCAUCCUUUGCUGAGGAUACGGUUAACGGAGCGAAAGCGACGUUCAACCGCAAAAGAAGCAGAGGGGGCUUAGUGGUGGGGUGACUGCGUACCUUUUGUAUAAUGGGUCAGCGACUUAUAUUCUGUAGCAAGGUUAACCGAAUAGGGGAGCCGGAGGGAAACC
Molecule: ribosomal RNA, 745 nt
Filed under: Salmonella enterica
Lineage: Bacteria; Pseudomonadati; Pseudomonadota; Gammaproteobacteria; Enterobacterales; Enterobacteriaceae
Description: partial 23S ribosomal RNA
Rfam family: Bacterial large subunit ribosomal RNA
Source: RNAcentral